GGAAGGAUCAUUAUCGUAGGGCUUCUGCCCUGUCGAGAUAGCGUCCUUGCCUAUUUUUUGGAGUACCUUUUCGUUUCCUCAGCAGGCUUGCCUGCUACUGGGGACCCUUUAAACUCUUUGUAAAUACAGCAUCUGUCUGAAUAAACAAACAAAAAAUCAAAACUUUCAACAAUGGAUCUCUUGGUUCUGGCAUCGAUGAAGAACGCAGCAAAAUGCGAUAAGUAGUGUGAAUUGCAGAAUUCAGUGAAUCAUCGAAUCUUUGAACGCACAUUGCGCCCUUUGGUAUUCCUUAGGGCAUGCCUGUUCGAGCGUCAUUUACACCCUCAAGCACAGCUUGGUGUUGGGCGUCUGUCCUCUGGGACUCGCCUCAAAAAGAUUGGCAGCCACUUCAGCGGCUUUGAGCGCAGCAGAAUUGCGUCCUCUAGCAGCGGAAGGCGGCAUCCAAAAGCUUUCUUUCAUUUUGACCUCGGAUCAGGUAGGGAUACCCGCUGAACUUAAGCAUAUCAAUAAGCGGAGGAAAAGAAACCAACAGGGAUUGCCCUAGUAACGGCGAGUGAAGCGGCAACAGCUCAAAUUUGAAAUCUGGCUCUCGGGCCCGAGUUGUAAUUUGUAGAGGGUGCUUUGGCGUUGGCUGUGGUCUAAGUUCCUUGGAACAGGACGUCGCAGAGGGUGAGAAUCCCGUAUGUGGCCGCCAGUCUUCGCCGUGUAAAGCCCCUUCGACGAGUCGAGUUGUUUGGGAAUGCAGCUCUAAAUGGGAGGUAAAUUUCUUCUAAAGCUAAAUAUUGGCCAGAGACCGAUAGCGCACAAGUAGAGUGAUCGAAAGAUGAAAAGCACUUUGGAAAGAGAGUCAAAAAGCACGUGAAAUUGUUGAAAGGGAAGCGCUUGCAGCCAGACUUGCUUGUUAAAACUUGCAGGCCAGCAUCAGUCCGGGCGGUUGGAUAAAGGCCUAUUAAACGUACCUCUCUCGGGAGGACUUAUAGGGUAGGUGACAUGCAACCAGCCUGGAUUGAGGUCCGCGCAUCUGCUAGGAUGCUGGCGUAAUGGCUGUAAGCGGCCCGUCUUGAAACACGGACCAAGGAGUCUAACAUCUAUGCGAGUGUUUGGGUGUCAAGCCCGAACGCGUAAUGAAAGUGAACGGAGGUGGGAACCUUUCGGGGUGCACCAUCGACCGAUCCUGAUGUCUUCGGAUGGAUUUGAGUAAGAGCAUAGCUGUUGGGACCCGAAAGAUGGUGAACUAUGCCUGAAUAGGGUGAAGCCAGAGGAAACUCUGGUGGAGGCUCGCAGCGGUUCUGACGUGCAAAUCGAUCGUCAAAUUUGGGCAUAGGGGCGAAAGACUAAUCGAACUAUCUAGUAGCUGGUUCCUGC
RNAcentral lists this unclassified non-coding RNA (1365 nucleotides) under uncultured fungus. Its description in RNAcentral is "sequence contains 18S rRNA gene, ITS1, 5.8S rRNA gene, ITS2, 28S rRNA gene". The stretch from base 462 to 1365 matches the Rfam family "Eukaryotic large subunit ribosomal RNA", at positions 1 to 961 of the family's 3401-position model. Lineage: Eukaryota; Fungi. The record is from RNAcentral.